CCCACACUCAUGUAUGCCAGUAAACCUUCUGAAUGUCUUUCAGAGUGAGCACUGUAGAGAAGAAAAACAGGGCAUUGUGCUGUAUUUGUAGAGAGGGGCUGAGAAGCAUGAGUCCACUCCAUCUUUUUCCAGAACCGGCAGUAGACAUGGUAUUUGAGAAACCCUGCGAUACCAGAACAGAACUGAUUUUCCUGGAGAUGUUAUUUGAUGGGUAGUAGGAGCACGGUAAGCUUUAAAUUCUUAAUGAUCUUCCCUGGGGUUCUGGAUUCUUUUGCACUGGAGUGGCUCUUUAAGAUUACAAGCUUAAAACUGACUGUCUUUAAUGCCAGAGCUUGAAAAUAUCGUAACAAACCUGGAACGGAA
Molecule: long non-coding RNA, 363 nt
Filed under: Chinchilla lanigera (long-tailed chinchilla)
Lineage: Eukaryota; Metazoa; Chordata; Mammalia; Rodentia; Chinchillidae
Description: lncRNA (ENSCLAG00000029303.1)
Source: RNAcentral